GCCCCUUCGGGGGUGUAUAAAGUGGCGAACGGCUGAGUAACACGUGGGCAACCUGCCUCUUGCUCUGGGAUAGCCACGGGAAACCGUGGGUAAUACCGGAUACUCCGUAACCAUCGCAUGGUGGAUACGGGAAAGCGCAUACGGCAAGAGAUGGGCCCGCGGCCUGUUAGCUUGUUGGUGGGGUAACGGCCUACCAAGGCAAUUAUGGGUAGCUGGGUUGAGAGACCGACCAGCCAGAUUGGGACUGAGACACGGCCCAGACUCCUACGGGAGGCAGCAGUGGGGAAUCUUGCACAAUGGGCGAAAGCCUGAUGCAGCGACGCCGCGUGCGGGAUGAAGGCCCUAUGGGUUGUAAACCGCUUUCAGCAGGGAAGAGGCCGCAAGGUGACGGUACCUGCAGAAGAAGCCCCGGCUAACUACGUGCCAGCAGCCGCGGUAAUACGUAGGGGGCAAGCGUUAUCCGGAUUCAUUGGGCGUAAAGCGCUCGUAGGCGGCUUGUUAGGUCGGGAGUCAAAUCCCGGGGCUCAACCCCGGCACGCUUCCGAUACCGGCAGGCUUGAGUUUGGUAGGGGAAAGUGGAAUUCCAAGUGUAGCGGUGGAAUGCGCAGAUAUUUGGAAGAACACCAGUGGCGAAGGCGGCUUUCUGGGCCAUAACUGACGCUGAGGAGCGAAAGCUAGGGGAGCAAACAGGAUUAGAUACCCUGGUAGUCCUAGCCGUAAACGAUGGACACUAGUGUGGGGGAAAAUUUCUU
RNAcentral lists this ribosomal RNA (752 nucleotides) under uncultured bacterium. RNAcentral describes it as "bacterial SSU rRNA". It matches the Rfam family "Bacterial small subunit ribosomal RNA", at positions 74 to 837 of the family's 1533-position model. The record is from RNAcentral.